GACGAACGCUGGCGGCGCGCCUAAUACAUGCAAGUCGAGCGAAUGACGAGAAGCUUGCUUCUCUGAUUUAGCGGCGGACGGGUGAGUAACACGUGGGCAACCUGCCCUACAGAUCGGGAUAACUCAGGGAAACCUGGGCUAAUACCGGAUAAUCCUUCGAAUCACAUGUUUUGAAGUUGAAAGGCGCUUCGGCGUCACUGUAGGAUGGGCCCGCGGUGCAUUAGCUAGUUGGUGGGGUAACGGCCUACCAAGGCAACGGUGCAUAGCCGACCUGAGAGGGUGAUCGGCCACAGUGGGACUGAGACACGGCCCAAACUCCUACGGGAGGCAGCAGUAGGGAAUCUUCCACAAUGGACGAAAGUCUGAUGGAGCAACGCCGCGUGAGUGAUGAAGGUUUUCGGAUUGUAAAACUCUGUUGUAAGGGAAGAACAAGUACGUUAGGAAAUGAACGUACCUUGACGGUACCUUAUUAGAAAGCCACGGCUAACUACGUGCCAGCCGCCGCAGUAA
This 510-nucleotide ribosomal RNA is filed under the name uncultured bacterium. Its description in RNAcentral is "partial 16S ribosomal RNA". It matches the Rfam family "Bacterial small subunit ribosomal RNA", at positions 28 to 523 of the family's 1533-position model. The record is from RNAcentral.